UAGAGGCGUUAAUAUUGUGCCACACUUUGGG
This 31-nucleotide non-coding RNA is filed under the name Homo sapiens (human). Lineage: Eukaryota; Metazoa; Chordata; Mammalia; Primates; Hominidae. The record is from RNAcentral.